RNAcentral lists this ribosomal RNA (446 nucleotides) under Klebsiella pneumoniae. Its description in RNAcentral is "bacterial SSU rRNA". It matches the Rfam family "Bacterial small subunit ribosomal RNA", at positions 953 to 1395 of the family's 1533-position model. The record is from RNAcentral. Lineage: Bacteria; Pseudomonadati; Pseudomonadota; Gammaproteobacteria; Enterobacterales; Enterobacteriaceae.
GAAGCCAACGCGGAAGACCUUUACCUGGUCUUGACCAUCCACAAAAUUUCCCAAGGAUGAUUUGGGCCUUUGGGAAAUUGUGCACCGGGUGCGCCAUGGCGUUGUUCAGUUGUUUUUUGAAAAUUUUGGGUUAAUUCCGUCAAGAAGCCCAACCUUUAUCCUAGGUACCCACCCGUUAGGCCGGGCACUCUAAGGAGACUGCCAGUGACAAACCGGAGGAAGGUGGGGAUGACGUCAAGUCAUCAUGGCCCUUACGGCCAGGUCUACACACGUGCUACAAUGGCAUAUACAGAGAGAAGCCAACUCGCGAGAGCAAGCUGAUCUCACAAAAGUAGGUCGUAGUCCGGAUUGCAGUCUGCAACUCGACUGCGUGAAGUCGGAAUCGCUAGUAAUCGUGGAUCAGAAUGUUGCGGUGAAUACGUUCCCGGGCCUUGUACACACCGCCC